This 433-nucleotide ribosomal RNA is filed under the name uncultured bacterium. RNAcentral describes it as "partial 16S ribosomal RNA". It matches the Rfam family "Bacterial small subunit ribosomal RNA", at positions 29 to 507 of the family's 1533-position model. The record is from RNAcentral.
AACGAACGCCGGCGGCAUGCCUAACACAUGCAAGUCGAACGAGACCUUCGGGUCUAGUGGCGCACGGGUGCGUAACGCGUGGGAACCUGCCCUUAGGUUCGGAAUAACUCCCCGAAAGGGGUGCUAAUACCGGAUAAUGUCUUCGGACCAAAGAUUUAUCGCCUUUGGAUGGGCCCGCGUUGGAUUAGCUAGUUGGUAGGGUAAAAGCCUACCAAGGCGACGAUCCAUAGCUGGUCUGAGAGGAUGAUCAGCCACACUGGGACUGAGACACGGCUCAGACUCCUACGGGAGGCAGCAGUGGGGAAUAUUGGACAAUGGGCGAAAGCCUGAUCCAGCAAUGCCGCGUGAGUGAUGAAGGCCUUAGGGUUGUAAAGCUCUUUUACCCGGGAUGAUAAUGACAGUACCGGGAGAAUAAGCUCCGGCUAACUCCGUG